Long non-coding RNA from Branchiostoma floridae (Florida lancelet), 251 nucleotides. RefSeq lists it as uncharacterized. The transcript is spliced from 3 exons. Lineage: Eukaryota; Metazoa; Chordata; Leptocardii; Amphioxiformes; Branchiostomatidae. The record is from RefSeq and is a predicted model, not a curated record.
GAUAGCUGUCAAUGCGUGGUUGUGGUCCACUGUGUUCCAUACAAGAGACCUGGUGUGGACAGAGAGACUGGAUUACUUCAGUGCAACGUCCAUAAUUUUCUUCCAGCUGUUUCACUGUUUCAGAAGAUGUUUUGGUGGUUUCUGGAAGUCCCUAAUAUUCGGAGCUGUUCUGCUCAGACUGUUUGCCGGUCAUGUGUACUACCUGUCUGCUGUCAAGUUCGACUAUGGCUACAACAUGAAGGUCAUGGUCA